Nicotiana tabacum (common tobacco) is the source of this 182-nucleotide long non-coding RNA. RefSeq lists it as uncharacterized. The record is from RefSeq and is a predicted model, not a curated record. Lineage: Eukaryota; Viridiplantae; Streptophyta; Magnoliopsida; Solanales; Solanaceae.
CAGCUGUUUCAGUGCUGGGUGAGAUGGAUGUAUGGAUUAUCUUGCCCUUUUUCCUCCAAGGAGGCCGUUAUACCAUUGGAGAUAUACAUUAUGUUGCAGAUUCUGAUAGGCUUGUUCCAGCAGGUGAAACUGAAUUUGCUAAAGAUGCUGCUUUUGGAUACAAAUCUUCCAACCUCCGUGAG